Molecule: ribosomal RNA, 510 nt
Filed under: Drosophila diamphidiopoda
Lineage: Eukaryota; Metazoa; Arthropoda; Insecta; Diptera; Drosophilidae
Description: partial 16S ribosomal RNA
Source: RNAcentral
AAGAAUUUAAAAGUCGAACAGACUUAAAAUUUGAACGGCUACACCCAAAAUUAUAUCUUAAUCCAACAUCGAGGUCGCAAUCUUUUUUAUCGAUAUGAACUCUCCAAAAAAAUUACGCUGUUAUCCCUAAAGUAACUUAAAUUUUUAAUCAUUAUUAAUGGAUCAAUAGUUCAUAAAUUAAUGGUUUUAAAAAUUAAAAGUUUUUUAAAUUUUAAUAUCACCCCAAUAAAAUAUUUUAAUUUAUUAUAAUAAAAAUAAUCUUUAUAAUUAAAAUAAACAAAAUAUAAAGAUUUAUAGGGUCUUCUCGUCUUUUAAAUUUAUUUUAGCUUUUUGACUAAAAAAUAAAAUUCUAUAAAAAAUUUAAAUGAAACAGUUAAUAUUUCGUCCAACCAUUCAUUCCAGCCUUCAAUUAAAAGACUAAUGAUUAUGCUACCUUUGCACAGUUAGAAUACUGCGGCCAUUUAAAAUUUUCAGUGGGCAGGUUAGACUUUAAAUUUAAUUCAAAAAGAC